RNAcentral lists this ribosomal RNA (2605 nucleotides) under human gut metagenome. RNAcentral describes it as "bacterial LSU rRNA". It matches the Rfam family "Bacterial large subunit ribosomal RNA", at positions 14 to 2641 of the family's 2925-position model. The record is from RNAcentral.
AGAGCGCAAGGGGAAUGCCUUGGCAUCAGGAGCCGACGAAGGACGUGACAAGCUGCGAUAAGCUACGGUGAGGAGCAAAUAUCCUGUGACCCGUAGAUUUCCGAAUGGGGCAACCCGGCUGGACAAUAUCCAGUCAUCCUGCAUUGAAUAAAAUAGGUGUAGGAAGGGAACCGCCUGAACUGAAACAUCUAAGUAGGGCGAGGAAAAGACAUCAACCGAGAUUCCGCAAGUAGUGGCGAGCGAACGCGGAAGAGGCCAAACCGGAGGAUUUAUUCUCCGGGGUUGCGGACAGCUAUACGGAACAAUAGUUUAGCCGAACGGUCUGGGAAGGCCGGUCACAGAGGGUGAGAACCCCGUAGGCGAAAGACGAAUUGUUUCAGGCUGGAUCCAGAGUACCGCAGGACACGUGAAACCCUGUGGGAAACAGGGGGGACCACCCUCCAAGCCUAAAUACUACCUGAUGACCGAUAGAGGAGCAGUACCGUGAGGGAAAGGUGAAAAGGACCCCGGGAGGGGAGUGAAAGAGAACCUGAAACCUUGUGCUUACAAGCAGUCAGAGCACGUUAAAGUGUGAUGGCGUACUUUUUGUAGAACGGUCCGGCGAGUUAUAGUAACGAGCAAGCUUAAGGUAUUCAGUACCGGAGGCGAAGCGAAAGCGAGUCUGAAUAGGGCGCAUGAAGUUCGUUGCCAUAGACCCGAAACCGGGUGACCUAACCAUGAGCAGGCUGAAGUGAGAGUAAAAUCUCAUGGAGGGCCGAACGCACGUUCGUUGCAAUGACCGGCGAUGACUUGUGGUUAGCGGAGAAAUUCCAAUCGAACUCGGAGAUAGCUGGUUCUCCCCGAAAUAGCUUUAGGGCUAGCGUCGGAUAUGUGUAGUGGAGGUAGAGCACUGAAUGGGCUAGGGGGCAUAGCGCUUACCGAACCUUAUCAAACUCCGAAUGCCACAUACAUUAAGUCCGGCAGUCAGACUACGAAUGAUAAGAUCCGUGGUCAAAAGGGAAACAGCCCAGAUCGUCAGCUAAGGUCCCAAAGUGUAAGUUAAGUGGAAAAGGAUGUGGGAUUUCUAAGACAACUAGGAUGUUGGCUUAGAAGCAGCCACUCAUUUAAAGAGUGCGUAAUAGCUCACUAGUCGAGAGAUCCUGCGCCGAAAAUGUCCGGGGCUCAAACUUACCACCGAAGCUACGGGCUUGCAUUAGCAAGCGGUAGGGGAGCGUCGUAAUCGGGCUGAAGUCGUACCGUAAGGAGCGGUGGACUGAUUACGAGUGAGAAUGUUGGCAUUAGUAGCGAGAUGUAGGUGAGAAUCCUACAGGCCGAAUAUCUAAGGUUUCCUCAGGAAGGCUCGUCCGCUGAGGGUUAGUCGGGACCUAAGCCGAGGCCGAAAGGCGUAGGCGAUGGACAAUCGGUUGAUAUUCCGAUACCACUACCAUCGUUAUUAUCGAGGGUGUGACGGAGAAGGAUAGUGUGUGCUAGCGAUUGGAAAUGCUAGUCUAAGCGUUUAGGGAGUUACGGUAGGCAAAUCCGCUGUAACAAUUCUGAGGCGUGAUGGGGAAGGCCAUAUAGGCCGAAGUACAUGAUUCCAUGCUUCCAAGAAAAGCAUCUAGAGAGAGAAGUAGUGCCCGUACCGCAAACCGACACAGGUAGAUGAGGAGAGAAUCCUAAGGCCGGCGGAAGAAUUGCAGUUAAGGAACUAGGCAAAUUGACCCCGUAAGUUCGCGAGAAGGGGUGCCUGCGAGAGCAGGCCGCAGAGAAUAGGCCCAAGCAACUGUUUAGCAAAAACACAGGUCUCUGCUAAAGCGCAAGCUGAUGUAUAGGGGCUGACGCCUGCCCGGUGCUGGAAGGUUAAGGGGAACACUUAGCGCAAGCGAAGGUGUGAACUUAAGCCCCAGUAAACGGCGGCCGUAACUAUAACGGUCCUAAGGUAGCGAAAUUCCUUGUCAGGUAAGUUCUGACCCGCACGAAUGGCGUAAUGACUUGGGCACUGUCUCAACUGCAAAUCCGGCGAAGUUGUAGUGCGAGUGAAGAUGCUCGCUACCCGCGAUUGGACGGAAAGACCCCGUAGAGCUUUACUGCAGCUUAGCAUUGAAUUCCGGUAUUGUCUGUACAGGAUAGGUGGGAGACUGGGAAACUAGGGCGUCAGCCUUAGUGGAGUCAACCUUGGGAUACCACCCUGACAGUACUGGGGUUCUAACAGGACGCCAUGAAUCUGGUGACUGGACAUUGUUAGGUGGGCAGUUUGACUGGGGCGGUCGCCUCCUAAAAAGUAACGGAGGCGCCCAAAGGUUCCCUCAGAACGGUCGGAAAUCGUUCGUAGAGUGCAAAGGCAUAAGGGAGCCUGACUGCGAGACCUACAAGUCGAGCAGGGACGAAAGUCGGGCUUAGUGAUCCGGUGGUACCUCGUGGGAGGGCCAUCGCUCAACGGAUAAAAGCUACCUCGGGGAUAACAGGCUGAUCUCCCCCAAGAGUCCACAUCGACGGGGAGGUUUGGCACCUCGAUGUCGGCUCAUCGCAUCCUGGGGCUGUAUUCGGUCCCAAGGGUUUGGCUGUUCGCCAAUUAAAGCGGUACGCGAGCUGGGUUCAGAACGUCGUGAGACAGUUCGGUCCCUAU